RNAcentral lists this long non-coding RNA (2383 nucleotides) under Daphnia pulex (common water flea). RNAcentral describes it as "uncharacterized LOC124200718, transcript variant X2". Lineage: Eukaryota; Metazoa; Arthropoda; Branchiopoda; Diplostraca; Daphniidae. The record is from RNAcentral.
CCUCGGCCUUCGGGUUGUAGCCUUUAUCUCUUCCACGCCUCUUCCGAGUCGCUAAUCACUUUGUUGGACUUUCCAUCCAUCGUGAUCGUCAAACAAAAACGCUGUUCCUUUCACAACCAAUCUACAUAAAGAAAAUUCUCCAGCGCUUCAACAUGGCCAACUGUCGUCCAAGAAACCUUCCAGCGGAGCCAGGUCACCAUCUGCAUAGAAAUGCAGAAAAAGGAAGACAAGAAGAGGCGAUGCCCUAUAGAGAAGCUGUUGGCUCUCUCAUGUAUCUAAUAAUGGCAACCAGGCCCGACAUUUCUUUCUCUGUAGGGCAAGUUUCACAAUUCUGUGAGGAUCCAGAGCCGAGCCACUGGGAAGCAGUGAAGCGAAAUUUGUCCUAUCUUCAAGAUACUUCAAGCCAUGGCAUUCCUUUUGGUCAAGGGACGGACGGACUCAAAGGCUUCACAGACUCCGACUACGCUGGAGAUGUCGUCUCCCGCCGCUCCACGACGGGUUUUAUUUUCCUUCCUCACGGAGGACCUGUCGGCUGGAGCAGUCGUCGCCAGUCAUCCGUCGCCCUCUCAAAAACCGAGUCGGAGUUCGUGGCCGCUUGUGAAGCAGCACGAGAAGGAGUCUGGCUUCAGCGCCUUUUAGUGGACAUAAAUCUUGGAUCGGAAAGGCCGCUCCGCAUCAUGUGUGACAAUCAGUCAGCUAUCCAGCUGAUAAGGUGUUUCAUCAGAGAACGAAACACAUAGAUGUCCGUUUCCACUACGUACGUGAGCUUCAGGAGAAAGGAGAUAUCAACGUAAUCUAUGUGUCAACUGACAAUCAGCUUGCAGAUCCGUUCACCAAGCCUUUGCCUAAUCCUCGAUUCUCAAUUCUGCGGGAGUUGGCUGGAAUUGUUCCAGUCCCGACUGAUCCCAACUAGUUUUUCUUCUAAUCCAAGAGGGGCAAGAACACUGUCAACAACAAAUAUAUAUUUUUUUUUCUUUUGGUUGUUAUGUUACAUGUGAUAAAGUUUUUUUUUUGUUUGGAUUCUGUUUUGGUUAUGUUUGAGGGGAGUGUUGAGAUUUUCAACAAACACGACCUUCACCGAGUGACCGCCAGAUCUAUGCGAAGAAAGGGAGGCAGGUCCUCGGCCUUCGGGUUGUAGCCUUUAUCUCUUCCUCAAUUCUUUUUCUUUUCUUCUGCUUCUGACCACGCUUAGUGAAUGGACACGAAGAGUUCGUUUAUUCUCUCUACAGAAAUAUCUGAUUGUUCUUUUUGAUUAAGUGUGCUUCAUUCCAUCUUCAACACCGAAGUUCUUGGACCCAUCUGCAAGAGAUGCGAAAGAAACACCUCAUCACUGUACGAUACGAAAAAGGGAUUGUGUCCUAGAUGUUUUAAUAAAGAUUCUUUGUUGAAUCCAGCUUCUCAAAUACCCAGUUAUUUGUACUUUGGUAAAGAAGAAAAGAGAGAAAGUUUAACCCUGGUCUUCACUUGUACACGACAUUCCGGAGGUGAUAAUUUCUCAAACGAAGAAAAAACUUUUAAAACUCUGGAAAUGUCAUGCAGACAAUCUCAAAGAAGUGACGGCCCAUUUGGAAUAGUUAACCGUCCUGGUUAUCCAACGACAAUUAAAUUUGUAGGAAGAUUUAGUGCACGAAACGCAUGCGCAAUGUCUCCUAUAUCGGAAAUGUCGGAUAUUAGGGGCACACAUAAAUGUGAUAUUCAACCACUUUGUUCCUUGCCAGAUCAUAUGAUCGGUAACUGCUUCCCGGGUGAUAUAGCAGUGAUUCUUGUUUCACAACCUGCUAGCCUAACUAUCGCUCCCUAAUAUAUGGCAACUUUUUUGUCUGAAAUAAUGUUGCGUGGCAUACCGGAAGACAGCUUCUACAUUUUGAUUAAAGUCUAUUUCACAACCCACUUUUUACUAUACUUUCUACUUUUAUUUUACUUAAUUCCUCAUUAUUUUCUAUAGAAACUGGUAGUUUAACUUCAAAAUACAUAAUUUAUUAUAUUAUACUUUUUUAUUAUACUUUUUACUUUACUUAAUGGCACAACUCCUCGGAUGAACACACACGCAUGAAGUUUGGUAUUGUACUGGUUGCAAAAAAAAAUUUAAGAACGUUGCAAAAUUAAUGCAACAUUGCCAUUUAGUACAAUAUUGAUUACAGUGAUAUAGACUAUUAAUGCUAUCCGAAAAUAACAACUCGUAUCCCAACGAUAUAGUCUUGGAUUAGUGAUCUAGAGGUUUGUGGUUCGGGCCUGCCUCAAACUUGAAACAAUAGGAUUUUAUUUUGUUAAUGGAGCAAAGUAAAAUAUCAUUAGUUUAAUAUCGGACUGUAGUUAAGUAACACUUAAAGAUUGCCAUAUGCUGCUCAAGUCUUUUUUUAUUUUUUGUAUGGAGGGAGACCCC